Molecule: ribosomal RNA, 485 nt
Filed under: uncultured bacterium
Lineage: Bacteria
Description: bacterial SSU rRNA
Rfam family: Bacterial small subunit ribosomal RNA
Source: RNAcentral
AUUGAACGCUGGCGGCAUGCCUUACACAUGCAAGUCGAACGGCAGCGACGGGGGCAACCCUGGUGGCGAGUGGCGAACGGGUGAGUAAUACAUCGGAAUGUACCCAGUAGUGGGGGAUAACUAGUCGAAAGAUUAGCUAAUACCGCAUACGCACUAUGGUGGAAAGCGGGGGAUCGCAAGACCUCGCGCUAUUGGAGCAGCCGAUGUCCGAUUAGGUAGUUGGUGGGGUAAAAGCCUACCAAGCCUGCGAUCGGUAACUGGUCUGAGAGGACGACCAGUCACACUGGGACUGAGACACGGCCCAGACUCCUACGGGAGGCAGCAGUGGGGAAUUUUGGACAAUGGGGGAAACCCUGAUCCAGCAAUGCCGCGUGUGUGACGAAGGCCUUCGGGUUGUAAAGCACUUUUGGCGGGAACGAAACGGCGCUUUCUAAUACAGAGUGCUAAUGACGGUACCCGCAGAAUAAGCACCGGCUAACUACGUG